Coturnix japonica (Japanese quail) is the source of this 722-nucleotide non-coding RNA. NCBI's taxonomy places the organism in Eukaryota, Metazoa, Chordata, Aves, Galliformes, Phasianidae. The record is from RefSeq and is a predicted model, not a curated record.
GAGUAUUUCUUUUGGGUUCUUGCCUACUGGUGCUGGAGCAGCCCAUCCGCCUGGGCUUUUCCAGAGGAUAAUGCUUUUGGUGAUGCUCCUAGCAGAGGUACUCUGUGAAGAUGAAGCCCUUAAGCCAACACCAGGAAAAGAUCACUUGUUUCUCCCACCCCAAUGAGGUGUUCCAAGUGCAGCGGAUGGGUCAAGCUCAGGCCAGUUGACAGCCUCCCUCUCACCUCAGGGACUGCUGCUCAGCAAAUUCUACAGACCAGCCUGUUUCACUCCACUAAUAGCAUUCACUGAAGGUGUUGAAGGGGGAAGCGACAGUCUCUGCCAUAAGUUUCCAUGCUCUUGUGGUGGUGUUUGAGCUCACAGCAACAGAAAGGAGCUGCCAGCGCUGGAGCCACUUGUUUCUCCUGUCCAGCCCAUAUCUGCAAAGUGGGUAGCACUGCAAGUAGUAGUAAGCAAGUAUGACAUGAUGCUUUGCUGUUCCUCAUUCCCUUUAGUGUGUGGAUACAACCCAGAGCACUGACUGAUGCCCUCAGGCAGGCGUUAACUUGGUAGACGCAUACACCUUGCUGCCAAGAAACCAUUUAUAAAUAGAUUUUAUUUAUAAAGUCAAUUUACAUAAAAUAUGAUACUCUUUUUAAAAACUGCAUAUGUACGACUUAAGAAAUCCUAGCAAGUGCAUACAAAAAUGCCUUCAAUGCAUUUAAAAAACAAAACAACAACAA